RNAcentral lists this ribosomal RNA (440 nucleotides) under uncultured bacterium. RNAcentral's name for it is "partial 16S ribosomal RNA". It matches the Rfam family "Bacterial small subunit ribosomal RNA", at positions 338 to 795 of the family's 1533-position model. The record is from RNAcentral.
CCUACGGGAGGCUGCAGUGGGGGAUAUUGCACAAUGGGGGAAACCCUGAUGCAGCGACGCCGCGUGAGUGAAGAAGUAUUUCGGUAUGUAAAGCUCUAUCAGCCGGGAAGAAAAUGACAGUACCUGACCAAGAAGCCCCGGCUAACUACGUGCCAGCAGCCGCGGUAAUACGGCGGGGGCAAGCGUUAUCCGGAUUUACUGGGUGUAAAGGGCGCGUAGACGGUUAUGUAAGUCUGGAGUGAAAGCCCGGGGGCCAACCCCGGGACUGCUUUGGAAACUGUGUAACUGGAGUACAGGAGGGGCAUGCGGAAUUCCUGGUGUAGCGGUGAAAUGCGUAGAUAUCAGGAGGAACACCGGCGGCGAAGGCGGCCUGCUGGACUGAAACUGACGUUGAGGCUCGAAAGCGUGGGGAGCAAACAGGAUUAGAUACCCGUGUAGUC